Molecule: unclassified non-coding RNA, 343 nt
Filed under: soil metagenome
Description: partial contains 5.8S ribosomal RNA, internal transcribed spacer 2, and large subunit ribosomal RNA
Rfam family: 5.8S ribosomal RNA (bases 1-120)
Source: RNAcentral
GAUGAAGAACGUAGCGAAAUGCGAUAAGUAAUGUGAAUUGCAGAACUCAGUGAAUCAUCGAAUCUUUGAACGCACAUUGCGCCCGCCAGCAUUCUGGCGGGCAUGCCUGUUCGAGCGUCAUUUCAACCCUCGACCUCCCUUUGGGGAAGUCGGCGUUGGGGACCGGCAGCACACCGCCGGCCCUGGAAUGGAGUGGCGGCCCGUCCGCGGCGACCUCUGCGUAGUAAACCAACUCGCACCGGAACCCCGACGUGGCCACGCCGUAAAACACCCAACUUCUGAACGUUGACCUCGAAUCAGGUAGGACUACCCGCUGAACUUAAGCAUAUCAAUAAGCGGAGGA